This 449-nucleotide ribosomal RNA is filed under the name uncultured bacterium. Its description in RNAcentral is "partial 16S ribosomal RNA". It matches the Rfam family "Bacterial small subunit ribosomal RNA", at positions 29 to 523 of the family's 1533-position model. The record is from RNAcentral.
AACGAACGCUGGCGGCAUGCCUAAUACAUGCAAGUCGAACGAGAUCUUCGGAUCUAGUGGCGCACGGGUGCGUAACGCGUGGGAAUCUGUCCUUGGGUUCGGAAUAACAGCGGGAAACUGCUGCUAAUACCGGAUGAUGACGUAAGUCCAAAGAUUUAUCGCCCAGGGAUGAGCCCGCGUAGGAUUAGGUAGUUGGUGGGGUAAAGGCCUACCAAGCCUACGAUCCUUAGCUGGUCUGAGAGGAUGAUCAGCCACACUGGGACUGAGACACGGCCCAGACUCCUACGGGAGGCAGCAGUAGGGAAUAUUGGACCAUGGGGGCAACCCUGAUCCAGCAAUGCCGCGUGAGUGAUGAAGGCCUUAGGGUUGUAAAGCUCUUUUACCCGGGAUGAUAAUGACAGUACCGGGAGAAUAAGCCCCGGCUAACUCCGUGCCAGCAGCCGCCGUAA